RNAcentral lists this ribosomal RNA (487 nucleotides) under uncultured bacterium. RNAcentral's name for it is "partial 16S ribosomal RNA". It matches the Rfam family "Bacterial small subunit ribosomal RNA", at positions 899 to 1397 of the family's 1533-position model. The record is from RNAcentral.
ACUCAAAUGAAUUGACGGGGACCUGCACAAGUGGUGGAGCGUGUGGUUUAAUUCGACAAUAAGCGAAGAACCUUACCAAGGCUUGACAUCUCUGGAAUUCCCGGGAAACCGGGAAGUGCCGCAAGGAGCCAGAUGACAGGUGCUGCACGGUUGUCGUCAGCUCGUGCUGUGAAGUGUCCCGUUCAGUCGGUUAACGAGCGCAACCCCUAUCCUGUGUUAUACAUGUCACAGGAAACUGCCCCAGUUAAUGGGGAGGAAGGUGGGGACGAUGUCAAAUCAGCGUGGCCCUUACGCCUUGGGCGACACACGCGCUACAAUGGGAAGUAACAAUGGGUUGCCAAGCCGCGAGGCGGAGCUAAUCCCAACAAACCUUCCCCCAGUUCGGAUUGGAGGCUGCAACUCGCCUCCAUGAAGCCGGAAUCACUAGUAACGGCCGGUCAGCCAUACGGCCGUGAAUACGUUCUCAGGUCUUGUACACACCGCCCGU